Molecule: long non-coding RNA, 600 nt
Filed under: Monodelphis domestica (gray short-tailed opossum)
Lineage: Eukaryota; Metazoa; Chordata; Mammalia; Didelphimorphia; Didelphidae
Description: lncRNA (ENSMODG00000047752.1)
Source: RNAcentral
AUGGAUGAACCUUGUAGGAUUCAGGCAUUUACAAAGUACCCACCCUGUGCCAAGCUGUAUGAAUACAGAAACAAAAGCAAAAUAGUACUGAUCUCAGGACCUGACAGUAUCCUAAAGAAAAAUGAUUUGGACAUAACUUUGGGCAGGAGUCUACUACAAACUCAAAUGGAAAGCAAAAGGAAAAGUCAAAGUAACACUCAUGCUGUGGGUGGUAAGUUCAAAAUUCCUUCUUUUACAAGAGCCUGGUGUUCUUGAGACCUGGCCCAGUUAUUGUUCUUUUGUUUUCCAGAGGGAGACUGUUAUAUGCAAUAGUGAAUAGUCUGAUAUAUCAGAGUCAAAACUUGAAGUUCUCUAAAAUUGUGUGCUUUUCACAGUAUAUUCAUAUGCAUUAUUCUCUUUCAUUCUCCCAACAGCCUUUGGAGAAAGGAAAGGCAUGUAUUAUCAUUACCACUUGACAUAUGAAGAAACUGAGGCACAGAACCAUUAAAGAUACUUAUAGAAUAACCCAGAGGAAGUUAGUGGCAUAGCCCUUUUCUCCUUGAACAGCUUAUGGGUCAGUUCCUCCAUUAAAAUGUAUCAGAAUGACCUAAGAAGCAAAAG